GAUGAACGCUGGCGGCGUGCCUAAUACAUGCAAGUCGAACGAGUUCUUGUUGAUGAUCGGUGCUUGCACCAAGAUUCAACAUGGAACGAGUGGCGGACGGGUGAGUAACACGUGGGUAACCUGCCCUUAAGUGGGGGAUAACAUUUGGAAACAGAUGCUAAUACCGCAUAGAUCCAAGAACCGCAUGGUUCUUGGCUGAAAGAUGGCGUAAGCUAUCGCUUUUGGAUGGACCCGCGGCGUAUUAGCUAGUUGGUGAGGUAAUGGCUCACCAAGGCGAUGAUACGUAGCCGAACUGAGAGGUUGAUCGGCCACAUUGGGACUGAGACACGGCCCAAACUCCUACGGGAGGCAGCAGUAGGGAAUCUUCCACAAUGGACGCAAGUCUGAUGGAGCAACGCCGCGUGAGUGAAGAAGGCUUUCGGGUCGUAAAGCUCUGUUGUUGGAGAAGAAUGGUCGGCAGAGUAACUGUUGUCGGCGUGACGGUAUCCAACCAGAAAGCCACGGCUAACUACGUGCCAGCAGCCGCGGUAAUACGUAGGUGGCAAGCGUUAUCCGGAUUUAUUGGGCGUAAAGCGAGCGCAGGCGGUUUUUUAAGUCUGAUGUGAAAGCCCUCGGCUUAACCGAGGAAGCGCAUCGGAAACUGGGAAACUUGAGUGCAGAAGAGGACAGUGGAACUCCAUGUGUAGCGGUGAAAUGCGUAGAUAUAUGGAAGAACACCAGUGGCGAAGGCGGCUGUCUGGUCUGUAACUGACGCUGAGGCUCGAAAGCAUGGGUAGCGAACAGGAUUAGAUACCCUGGUAGUCCAUGCCGUAAACGAUGAAUGCUAGGUGUUGGAGGGUUUCCGCCCUUCAGUGCCGCAGCUAACGCAUUAAGCAUUCCGCCUGGGGAGUACGACCGCAAGGUUGAAACUCAAAGGAAUUGACGGGGGCCCGCACAAGCGGUGGAGCAUGUGGUUUAAUUCGAAGCAACGCGAAGAACCUUACCAGGUCUUGACAUCUUUUGAUCACCUGAGAGAUCAGGUUUCCCCUUCGGGGGCAAAAUGACAGGUGGUGCAUGGUUGUCGUCAGCUCGUGUCGUGAGAUGUUGGGUUAAGUCCCGCAACGAGCGCAACCCUUAUGACUAGUUGCCAGCAUUUAGUUGGGCACUCUAGUAAGACUGCCGGUGACAAACCGGAGGAAGGUGGGGAUGACGUCAAAUCAUCAUGCCCCUUAUGACCUGGGCUACACACGUGCUACAAUGGAUGGUACAACGAGUUGCGAGACCGCGAGGUCAAGCUAAUCUCUUAAAGCCAUUCUCAGUUCGGACUGUAGGCUGCAACUCGCCUACACGAAGUCGGAAUCGCUAGUAAUCGCGGAUCAGCACGCCGCGGUGAAUACGUUCCCGGGCCUUGUACACACCGCCUGUCACACCAUGAGAGUUUGUAACACCCGAAGCCGGCGGCGUAACCCUUUUAGGGAGCGAGCCGUCUAAGGUGGGACAAAUGAUUAGGGUG
This 1492-nucleotide ribosomal RNA is filed under the name Lacticaseibacillus paracasei. RNAcentral describes it as "bacterial SSU rRNA". It matches the Rfam family "Bacterial small subunit ribosomal RNA". Lineage: Bacteria; Bacillati; Bacillota; Bacilli; Lactobacillales; Lactobacillaceae. The record is from RNAcentral.